RNAcentral lists this ribosomal RNA (486 nucleotides) under uncultured bacterium. RNAcentral describes it as "partial 16S ribosomal RNA". It matches the Rfam family "Bacterial small subunit ribosomal RNA", at positions 29 to 507 of the family's 1533-position model. The record is from RNAcentral.
AUUGAACGCUGGCGGCAUGCCUUACACAUGCAAGUCGAACGGCAGCACGGGUGCUUGCACCUGGUGGCGAGUGGCGAACGGGUGAGUAAUACAUCGGAACAUGUCCUGUAGUGGGGGAUAGCCCGGCGAAAGCCGGAUUAAUACCGCAUACGAUCUACGGAUGAAAGCGGGGGACCUUCGGGCCUCGCGCUAUAGGGUUGGCCGAUGGCUGAUUAGCUAGUUGGUGGGGUAAAGGCCUACCAAGGCGACGAUCAGUAGCUGGUCUGAGAGGACGACCAGCCACACGGGGACUGGGACACGGCCCAGACGCCUACGGGAGGCAGCAGUGGGGAAUUUUGGACAAUGGGCGAAAGCCUGAUCCAGCAAUGCCGCGUGUGUGAAGAAGGCCUUCGGGGUGUAAAGCACUUUUGUCCGGAAAGAAAUCCUUGGCCCUAAUACGGUCGGGGGAUGACGGUACCGGAAGAAUAAGCACCGGCUAACUACGUG